RNAcentral lists this ribosomal RNA (499 nucleotides) under uncultured bacterium. RNAcentral describes it as "bacterial SSU rRNA". It matches the Rfam family "Bacterial small subunit ribosomal RNA", at positions 32 to 506 of the family's 1533-position model. The record is from RNAcentral.
AAUCAACGCUGGCGGCGUGCCUCAGACAUGCAAGUCGAACGCGAAAGUCCCCCUCGGGGGACAAGUAGAGUGGCGCACGGGUGAGUAACACGUAGGUAAUCUACCUUCGGGUGGGGAAUAACAAUCGGAAACGGUUGCUAAUACCGCAUAAUGCAGCGGCACCUAAUGGUGACAGUUGUUAAAGCGGGGGAUCGCAAGAUCUCGCGCCUGAAGAGGAGCCUGCGGCGGAUUAGCUAGUUGGUAGGGUAAUGGCCUACCAAGGCGACGAUCCGUAGCCGGCCUGAGAGGGCGGUCGGCCACACUGACACUGACAUACGGGUCAGACUCCUACGGGAGGCAGCAGUCGGGAAUUUUGGGCAAUGGGCGAAAGCCUGACCCAGCAACGCCGCGUGAAGGAUGAAAUCCCUCGGGAUGUAAACUUCGCAAGAACGGGAAGAAUAAGUUUGUGCUAAUACCACAAGCGAUGACGGUACUGUUUGUAAGCUCCGGCUAACUCCGU